UGUCAUCGUCUUUGUGUUUCUAUGUCACUGUAUUUUACUGUGUUUUGUGUCUCGUUUGUGGUAUCAUGUAUGUGUGGUGUGGCAAAGAAAUUGCAGACAGUGUCACCUACCAACAAUGUUACCAAUCGUAUAAUUUCUGAAAGUUUUUGUUGGCUACAUGACAAGAUCCUUGAGGAGAGUCUAAGAGGUCAUAAAGCUCGAGAGUUGAUGCUGACACCUAGUGGUAUUUGUCUUUCAUAUUUUGUCCUUUAGUUUGGUUUGAGUCGUUGCCUCAAGACCUUUGUUCUUUCUCUUAAGUAAUGAAAACGUUUUCGUCUACAAAUUUUUAUCAACUGAUUCCAUCCAUAUCCACAAAUUUAAUCCAUGUCCAUGUCCACAUAUUUAGUCCAUGUCCACAUAUCCAUUUACUAUGUCCAUGUCCACAUAUUUGUUUUACGUAAAUGCUAAUGAAUAUAUAUGAAAUGGAUGUUAAAAGAUAGAAAAUCUUAUAAAUAGAUUAUUAUAAUAAUUCUAUUUAUUUUAUUUAUCUUACAAUUGAAAAUAAAAUCAAUUAAAAACAUUAGGUGGUAUAAACAGUAAUAAAAUAAAUAACCAAAAAAAAUUUUAAAAGAAAAAUCUCAUCCACU
This 626-nucleotide long non-coding RNA is filed under the name Brassica napus (rape). RNAcentral describes it as "long non-coding RNA (BNAP_LNC017567)". The record is from RNAcentral. Lineage: Eukaryota; Viridiplantae; Streptophyta; Magnoliopsida; Brassicales; Brassicaceae.